RNAcentral lists this long non-coding RNA (304 nucleotides) under Gallus gallus (chicken). Lineage: Eukaryota; Metazoa; Chordata; Aves; Galliformes; Phasianidae. The record is from RNAcentral.
GGAGAGGAAGGAGGAUCGACAUCCAUUUCUGUUCAAUACCCCAGUCUCUCAUGGAGAAUUUUCGUAGAGAAUGUGCAAACAGACACGUGACCAUAAAGGUGAGAACUACAAAGACAAAUCGAAACCAGAUUUCCACCUGUGAAAAUGUUGGAUUGUAUGUCUUCCACUACAAGCAAACAGAAGAAAAACAGCUCAACAUGCAAUGUUUUUAGAAGGGUCACACAAAUAUCAAUGUUUAACAUCUUUUGCAGAUACUCAACAGUUUUCUGGCUUUUCAAGAUUUGAAGGUAUAACCAAAUUCCUC